GGGCCUCACUGUGUAGCUCAGACUGGCCUCAAACUCACAAAGAUCCUCCUGCCUCAGCCUCCCAAGUGCUGGAAUUACAGACUUGUACCAUGAUGAAAAACAGAAAAGAAAAACAAAUUUAAAAAAAAACAAGGGUAGUGGCUAAGUGCUUGCCUGAUGGCGACAGAAGAAGAGCAUGAAUUCUGUCAUCUCAGUAAUUGGGAGGCUGAGGCAGGAGGAUCGCUGGGUGUUCAGGCCAGUCUGGGCAAGACAGCGAGAAAAGCACGGCAGGAGUAUCAGGGAAGCCCGCAGCUGCGACUCCUCAGAGGGUCCUGGGGGAAGGCUGUCACCCGGUGCCUGGAUCUUGGAUGUUUCCCUCCUGAGAGGGACGGAAAGAGUGAAGGAGCUGCGUGGAUUAGCAGGAAACAGCAGAAUAGUCAAGAAAUAAUAAACGAGGUCUUUUUUAAAGCAGCUGAGGAGCCCGAAUCUCACCUCUACACUGUGUACCACACUAGCUGAUGUCCCAGACAGCUGGUCACCACCGUCUCUUGAUGUUAUGUGGGCAGAAUGGAAAGCUGAUGGCUGGCUGAUCCUCGUCACAGAGAACAAAUCUUCCCUCUGUGAGCACCUUCCAGUGGAGCUUUAAAUGCUUUAAAGUUACAAGGAUUAAAAGAAAAUCCCAAAACAAAAAACCCAAGCCUGAUGGGAUGAGGAACUGUUUACCUCCUCCACCUUCUGUGGGGAAAUUGUUCAUGAGUCCCUUUAAGGAGAUACAGAUGUAAUGUGAGGGCCAGGGAUAUAGCUCGGUGGCACAAGCCCCUCUCUGGCGAGGUCUUGAGUUCGAUUCCUGGCACCAAAAGUUUAAAAAAAUUUAAGAAUGUGCAAUUAACACCUUGCUAGGGCCAGGGAUUUAGCUCAGCGGUAUAAGUGCCUGCCCUGCAAAUACACAGUCGUGAGUUUGAUCCCCGGUAAAUAAAUUAAACAACCUGCUAACUUAGUAACAGAGAUUGCUUUUCAGUUUCCUGUUUAGCCCGAUGGGGUAGUGGGUGCACUGUGAUCCCAGCACUCAGGAGGCCGAGGCAGGAGGAUCACUGUGAGUUGGAGGCCAGCCUGGGUGAUACAAUGAACUGAAAACAUGCCUAAAGCUACAUAGCGAGCCUGUCUCAAAAACAGAACCAAAACCAAAUUAAAUUUCUCCCUUUAAAAUUCCCAGGCUCACUGAUUAGUUUUUCUCUCUAGACAGAGCAUUCUAAACAAUGCCCAGCACACAUUAGAUAGUCAAUGAAAAGAAACUCCUGAAUGACUGUGUAGUACCCGGUAAGGUUAAAAUGUAAACCGCCCUACUGAUCAGAGUCUAUCUAAUCAGGCAGAGUUAUCGGCAACAAUUAAUGGCCACCCCGUGGUGUAAGUCCAUGUUGUACACAAUCCUUUUUUGGGCUGGGCAUGGUGGUGCAGGCUUGUAAUUCCAGCACUGUGGGAGGCUGAGGCAGGAGGAUUGCAGGGCGGAACCCAGGCUGGGUUACGGAGCAGCUUGGUGCAACCCUGUGCCAAGAAAACAAAACAUUUCAAAAGGGCUGGCGGCAAUGGGGUCACUGGGGACCUCUUGGCUGGCUCGCUGCUCCUUCCCCACUGUGGGGACCUGGGGGGUUCCCUGCACCUCCUCCCGGGGGACCUUGAACUUUGUUCUUUGUCUGCAGCGGGAAAAACUGCAGAAAGCCUGUCUUUCAGCCAAGUCCUGGCCACCAAAACCUGGUGGUGGCCGGGGCCAGAGGCUCCUGCUCCUGGGCUGCCGUGGGGGAGGAGAGAUUCCUGGGGACCCUAGCUGGCCGCUGGCCCCAGGGUCACCCACUGGCUGCACAGUUGUUAUUUUGCUUUUGGGGAGGGGGUACAGCAUGAUUCCCCUCUGCUUCCAUUAAACACACACACACACACACACACACACACACACGCCCCUGUCUCUCCUUGGCACUGGAAUUAGACCUCCAAACCCUCUGUUAUCAGGGAAACAGGCCUUGGAGGCGCGGCGAAUUCCCUGAUAAACAGGUCGCCUGUGCCCGUUCCCCUAACGAUGUCAGCACAGACGACCAACUUGCCACGGUGGGCCUGGGUGGUGCCGUACCUUGAUCCUCCUUCCCCAAACUCCUGGUUCUGUUUUAUGAAUCGUACCGUCCUCCCGGUGAUUACUUAGAUUGUGUGCCCCGCCUGCUCUGCAUUUUAAUCUAAGUGUAACUGCAAAGAAAAAAUGUAAAUCUCUUCUAUUCACUUUCAAAAGAAAAUAAAUGGAUUUUUAC
Molecule: long non-coding RNA, 2270 nt
Organism: Cavia porcellus (domestic guinea pig)
Lineage: Eukaryota; Metazoa; Chordata; Mammalia; Rodentia; Caviidae
Exons: 4
Source: RefSeq, a predicted model, not a curated record